UGUAGCUCAGUGGUAGAGUGUGUUCCUAUAAUGCAUGAGGUCCUGGGUUCAAUCCCCAGCA
Molecule: transfer RNA, 61 nt
Filed under: Fukomys damarensis (Damara mole-rat)
Lineage: Eukaryota; Metazoa; Chordata; Mammalia; Rodentia; Bathyergidae
Rfam family: tRNA
About the family: Transfer RNA (tRNA) molecules are approximately 80 nucleotides in length.
Source: Rfam by way of RNAcentral